AACGCGAAGAACCUUACCUAGGUUUGACAUCACCCGGAAACCUCUAGAGAUAGAGGCCUCUUCGGACUGGGUGACAGGUGGUGCAUGGCUGUCGUCAGCUCGUGUCGUGAGAUGUUGGGUUAAGUCCCGCAACGAGCGCAACCCUUAUCCCGUGUUGCCAGCAUUCAGUUGGGGACUCACGGGAGACUGCCGGGGUUAACUCGGAGGAAGGUGGGGAUGAGGUCAAGUCAUCAUGCCCCUUAUGUCUAGGGCUUCACGCAUGCUACAUUGGCCGGUACAGCGGGUUGCGAUACCGUGAGGUGGAGCGAAUCCCUGUAAAGCCGGUCUUGGUUCGGAUUCGAGUCUGCAACUCGACUCGAUGAAGGUGGAGUCGCUAGUAAUCGCAGAUCAGCAACGCUGCGGUGAAUGCGUUCCCGGGCCUUGUACACACCG
Molecule: ribosomal RNA, 432 nt
Filed under: uncultured Actinomycetes bacterium
Lineage: Bacteria; Bacillati; Actinomycetota; Actinomycetes
Description: bacterial SSU rRNA
Rfam family: Bacterial small subunit ribosomal RNA
Source: RNAcentral